GUAACCUGGCUCAUCUUCAACCUUUGACAAUCUAGUGAUUUUAGAAGUCACAGAAGGUGCUCCGCAGUGGGUCCAUGACUGGCCUGGUAUUUUCAAUCCUGUCCAUCCACCCACACACCAAAAGAAACGGAGUUCACCAUCGAC
Molecule: long non-coding RNA, 144 nt
Organism: Cheilinus undulatus (humphead wrasse)
Lineage: Eukaryota; Metazoa; Chordata; Actinopteri; Labriformes; Labridae
Exons: 2
Source: RefSeq, a predicted model, not a curated record